RNAcentral lists this non-coding RNA (109 nucleotides) under Sinorhizobium sp. NFACC03. The record is from RNAcentral. Lineage: Bacteria; Pseudomonadati; Pseudomonadota; Alphaproteobacteria; Hyphomicrobiales; Rhizobiaceae.
GUCGUCGCGAGGCGGGGUGUGAAGGAAGCUGUAAGCAAAGUGCCGGCUCGACGAACAGGAAGCGCAUGCGGCGUAGAUGCAACAGGUGGAUGGCACGAAGGUCACGCGU